Molecule: non-coding RNA, 957 nt
Filed under: Chrosomus erythrogaster (southern redbelly dace)
Lineage: Eukaryota; Metazoa; Chordata; Actinopteri; Cypriniformes; Leuciscidae
Description: 12S rRNA
Rfam family: Bacterial small subunit ribosomal RNA
Source: RNAcentral
UAAGGGCAUGGUCCCGACCUUAUUGUUAGCUUUAUCCCAACUUACACAUGCAAGUCUCCGCAGCCCCGUGAGUAUGCCCUUAAUCCCCUGCCCGGGGACGAGGAGCGGGUAUCAGGCACAAACUUUUAGCCCAGGACGCCUGGCCAAGCCACACCCCCAAGGGAAUUCAGCAGUGAUAAAUAUUAAGCCAUAAGUGAAAACUUGACUUAGUCAGGGCUAAGAGGGCCGGUAAAACUCGUGCCAGCCACCGCGGUUAAACGAGAGGCCCUAGUUAACAAUACAACGGCGUAAAGGGUGGUUAAGGAGUGCAAAACAAUAAAGCCGAAUGGCCCUUUGGCUGUCAUACGCUUCUAGGUGUCCGAAGCCCAACAUACGAAAGUAGCUUUAGCAAAAUCCACCUGACCCCACGAAAGCUGAGAAACAAACUGGGAUUAGAUACCCCACUAUGCUCAGCCAUAAACCUAGACGUCCAACUACAAUUAGACGUCCGCCCGGGUACUACGAGCAUUAGCUUGAAACCCAAAGGACCUGACGGUGCCUUAGACCCCCCUAGAGGAGCCUGUUCUAGAACCGAUAACCCUCGUUAAACCUCACCACUUCUAGCCACCCCAGCCUAUAUACCGCCGUCGUCAGCUUACCCUGUGAAGGCAAUAAAAGUAAGCAAAAUGGGCACAACCCAGAACGUCAGGUCGAGGUGUAGCGUACGAAGCGGGAAGAAAUGGGCUACAUUUUCUAUAAUAGAAUACUACGGACAUGCAACAUGAAAUAGUGCUUGAAGGAGGAUUUAGUAGUAAAAAGGAAGCAGCGUGUCCUUUUGAACCCGGCUCUGAGGCGCGUACACACCGCCCGUCACUCUCCCCUGUCAAAUUGCAAUAAGAAUAUUUAAUGCCAAAGCACUGACAAGGGGAGGCAAGUCGUAACAUGGUAAGUGUACCGGAAGGUGCACUUGGAUUAAUU